RNAcentral lists this transfer RNA (67 nucleotides) under Fissurella volcano. RNAcentral's name for it is "tRNA-Glu". The record is from RNAcentral. Lineage: Eukaryota; Metazoa; Mollusca; Gastropoda; Lepetellida; Fissurellidae.
GUCUUCAUGGUGUUGUUGAGCACACUAGGUUUUCGUCCUAGAGGAACAAAAAUUUUUGUUGGGGAUU